RNAcentral lists this ribosomal RNA (501 nucleotides) under uncultured bacterium. RNAcentral's name for it is "partial 16S ribosomal RNA". It matches the Rfam family "Bacterial small subunit ribosomal RNA", at positions 30 to 523 of the family's 1533-position model. The record is from RNAcentral.
AUUGAACGCUGGCGGCAUGCCUUACACAUGCAAGUCGAACGGCAGCACGGGUGCUUGCACCUGGUGGCGAGUGGCGAACGGGUGAGUAAUACAUCGGAACGUAUCUUAUCGUGGGGGAUAACGCAGCGAAGGCUGUGCUAAUACCGCAUACGCCCUGAGGGGGAAAGCGGGGGAUCGCAAGACCUCGCGCGAUUAGAGCGGCCGAUGCCUGAUUAGCUUGUUGGUGGGGUAAAAGCCCACCAAGGCGACGAUCAGUAGCUGGUCUGAGAGGACGAUCAGCCACACUGGGACUGAGACACGGCCCAGACUCCUACGGGAGGCAGCAGUGGGGAAUUUUGGACAAUGGGGGCAACCCUGAUCCAGCAAUGCCGCGUGAGUGAAGAAGGCCUUCGGGUUGUAAAGCUCUUUUGUCAGGGAAGAAACACCGGCUCUAACACAGUCUGGGAAUGACGGUACCUGAAGAAUAAGCACCGGCUAACUACGUGCCAGCCGCCGCCGUAA